Molecule: ribosomal RNA, 441 nt
Filed under: uncultured bacterium
Lineage: Bacteria
Description: partial 16S ribosomal RNA
Rfam family: Bacterial small subunit ribosomal RNA
Source: RNAcentral
CCUACGGGAGGCUGCAGUGGGGAAUAUUGGACAAUGGGGGAAACUCUGAUGCAGCAACGCCGCGUGAGGGAAGAAGGUUUUCGGAUUGUAAACUUCUAUCGCGAGGGAUGAAGAAUGACGGUACCUACUAAGAAAGCCCCGGCAAACUACGUGCCAGCAGCCGCGGUAAUAGGUAGGGGGCAAGCGUUGUCCGGAAUGACUGGGCGUAAAGGGGGCGUAGGCGGCAUAUUAAGUUAUGUGUGAAAGCCCGUGGCUUAACCGUGGAAUUGCACAGAAAACUGGUAAGCUGGAGUGCAGGAGAGGUAAGCGGAAUUCCUGGUGUAGCGGUGGAAUGCGUAGAUAUCGGGAGGAACACCAGAGGCGAAGGCGACUUACUGGACUGUAACUGACGUUGAGGCUCGAAAGCGUGGGGAGCAAACAGGAUUAGAUACCCCGGUAGUC